CUAUCCGCCAGAGAACUACUAGCAACAGCUUAAAACUCAAAGGACUUGGCGGUGCUUUACAUCCCUCUAGAGGAGCCUGUUCUAUAAUCGAUAAACCCCGAUACACCUCACCACCUCUCGCUAAAUCAGUCUAUAUACCGCCAUCUUCAGCAAACCCUAAAAAGGAAGAAUAGUAAGCACAAACAUCUUAACAUAAAAAAGUUAGGUCAAGGUGUAACCCAUGAGGUGGGAAGCAAUGGGCUACAUUUUCUAUAUCUAGAACAACCCUUUACGAAAGUCCUUAUGAAAUUAAGAACCAAAGGAGGAUUUAGUAGUAAAUUGAGAAUAGAGUGC
RNAcentral lists this ribosomal RNA (333 nucleotides) under Viverricula indica (small Indian civet). RNAcentral's name for it is "partial small subunit ribosomal RNA". It matches the Rfam family "Bacterial small subunit ribosomal RNA", at positions 865 to 1357 of the family's 1533-position model. Lineage: Eukaryota; Metazoa; Chordata; Mammalia; Carnivora; Viverridae. The record is from RNAcentral.